CCCUAGUGGGCCUAACAUGAUGGCUGAUAGUGCCUGAAGCAGUGCGGUUGAGGGACUGGGCUGACUGGAGACUCUCCUGCUGUGUGACCACCUCAGGAGACAGCCAGGGGUUUUCAUCAAGAGGCGUGGGGCCUGGUGGUCACUGCUGGUGGCCCAAACAAAUCCCUAUGAUUUGCCCAGAGGAGGAGGAGGAGGAGAAGGAGUGCUCUUGUGAUCAUUUACAAGGAGGAGGCGAACAGAGUAACCGUCCCCUCAGGCGUCAUCUCCUCUUGUCUGCAUUUGCUGACCAAAGCUGCCCAGCUAGCAUUAGCAUUUGGCCACAUCUCAGCUGUGGGUGCCCGUCUGGGCUCAAAUAAAUGUGCCAUGGGCCAUGGGAAAACCUGUAGAUUUGGAGGAGCCUUACAGCUGUCUCAUGGAGUUCUCACAGCAGCCCCUCAAGAUGUUUUCAGCAAGUGCGUGCCUGGCAGGAGCCGAGAAAGCCCUCAAUGUGACGCAGAGUAAUUUAAGUUUCUGUGCUGUCACUAAGGACCUAACCUGUGACACAGUGCCAACAAGGUUGCUGAAGAGUGAAGAUCCCCAGAGAGCAUCACCUCCUGCAGGCUCCUGCCAGAAGCUCACAAAAUGCCAUCCCUACCUGCACUUGCUGGGCGGACUGUCCGCAGCAGAUCCUUAUCCUGUGAGCACCUAA
This 688-nucleotide long non-coding RNA is filed under the name Anas platyrhynchos platyrhynchos (common mallard). RNAcentral describes it as "lncRNA (ENSAPLG00000016452.1)". Lineage: Eukaryota; Metazoa; Chordata; Aves; Anseriformes; Anatidae. The record is from RNAcentral.